Molecule: ribosomal RNA, 273 nt
Filed under: uncultured bacterium
Lineage: Bacteria
Description: partial 16S ribosomal RNA
Rfam family: Bacterial small subunit ribosomal RNA
Source: RNAcentral
UACGGAGGGUGCGAGCGUUGUCCGGAAUCACUGGGCGUAAAGGGCGCGUAGGUGGCGCGUCAAGCGUGCGGUGAAAGCCCGGGGCUCAACCCCGGGUCGGCCGUGCGGACUGGCGUGCUCGAGCACUGUAGGGGCGGGUGGAAUUCCGGGUGUAGCGGUGGAAUGCGUAGAGAUCCGGAAGAACACCGGUGGCGAAGGCGGCCCGCUGGGCAGUAGCUGACACUGAGGCGCGACAGCGUGGGGAGCAAACAGGAUUAGAAACCCCCGUAGUCC